RNAcentral lists this ribosomal RNA (2438 nucleotides) under human gut metagenome. Its description in RNAcentral is "bacterial LSU rRNA". It matches the Rfam family "Bacterial large subunit ribosomal RNA", at positions 392 to 2925 of the family's 2925-position model. The record is from RNAcentral.
AUCUCCUAUGAGGAUCCUGAGUAGCACAUCACACGUGGAACGAUGUGCGAAUCCGCGCGGACCACCGCGCAAGGCUAAAUACUCGUCGGCGACCGAUAGUGAACAAGUACCGCGAGGGAAAGGUGAAAAGAACCGCUGUGAGCGGAGUGAAAUAGAACCUGCAACCGUAAGUCUACAAAGUGUCAGAGCCCUUUGGGGCGAUGGCGUGCCUUUUGUUUAAUGAGUCUGCGAGUCAGUGUUCGUGGCAAGGCUAAGCUCUUCCGGAGCGCAGCCGCAGCGAAAGCAAGUCCGAAGAGGGCGACAAGUCGCGGGUACUGGACCCGAAGCGGAGGUGACCUACCCUUGGCCAGGUUGAAGCAUGGGUAAAACCAUGUGGAGGACCGAACGGGUGAACGUUGAAAAGUUCUCCGAUGAGCUGAGGGUAGGAGUGAAAGGCUAAUCAAACCCCGUGAUAGCUGGUUCUCUCCGAAAUGCAUUUAGGUGCAGCGUCACAUGCUGAUGAGCGGGGGUAAAGCACUGACAAGGCAAGGGGGCACACCCGCCUACCGACCCUUAUCAAACUCUGAAUACCGUUCAAGGGAGUGUGGCAGUGAGACGGCGGGGGAUAAGCUUCGUCGUCAAAAGGGAAACAGCCCAGACCGCCGGCUAAGGUGCCUCAAUCAUGCUAAGUGGAAAGGAUGUGGGAUGACCCAGACAGUGAGGAUGUUGGCUUAGAAGCAGCCACCAUUUAAAAAAUGCGUAAUAGCUUACUCAUCGAGUUGUCCUGCGCCGAAAAUGAUUGGCGAUAAGCAUGAUACCGAAGCCGCGGAUUUCAUCGCAAGAUGGAGUGGUAGGAGAGCGUCGCAUACACGUCGAAGGGGAAUGGCGACUGAACCUGGAGCGUAUGCGAGUGAGUAUGCAGACAUGAGUAACGCAAAGAUACGUUAAAUACGUAUCCGCCGUAAACCCAAGGUUUCCAGGGCAACGAUGUACGCCCCUGGGUUAGUCGGGACCUAAGUCGAGGCCGAGAGGCGUAGGCGAUGGACACACGGUCAAUAUUCCGUGACUUCCGAACCUUAAAGAGGGAGGACGCAUCAAGAAAGGUACACAGCUUAUUGAAUUGCGAGCGGAGGCUACGGCCGAAGCGCAGUACCGGACGAGGUGCCGAGAAAAGCCCCUCCGUAUGCUAAGGAACCCGUACCGCAAACCGACACAGGUGGGUGGGUAGAAUAUACCAAGGCGCAAGAGUGAACCCCGGUUAAGGAACUCGGCAAAUUAGCCCCGUAACUUCGGAAAAAGGGGUGCCAUGGCAACAUGGCCGCAGAGAAAUGGCCCAACCGACUGUUUAUCAAAAACACAGCACUCUGCCAAGACGCAAGUCAACGUAUAGGGUGUGACACGUGACCAAUGCCGAAAGAUUAAGGCGAGCGGUUAGCCGCAAGGCGAAGCUGUAAACCCAAGUCCCGGUGAAUGUCGGCCGUAACUAUAACGGUCCUAAGGUAGCGAAAUUCCUUGUCGGGUAAGUUCCGACCUGCACGAAUCGUGAAACGAGUUGGGCACUGUCUCAACCGGGCGCUCAGUGAAAUUGUAACGCCGGUGAAGAUGCCGGCCACCCGCAGAAGGACGGAAAGACCCUAUAGACCUUAACUGUAAGCUGUCAUUGUUUCUUCGGUUCCGAUGCUCAGAGUAAGUGGGAGACGCUGAGGUGACCCUUUAGGGGGCCACUGAGUCAUCAAUGAGACACCACCCUUCGGAACUGGAGGAUCUAACUUCGCGCCUUGAAUCAGGCAGAAGGACCGUGUCAGCCGGUCAGUUUUACUGGGGCGGUAUCCUCCCAAACAGUAACGGAGGAGUGCGAAGGUGGGCUCAACCCGGAUGGCAACCGGGUGUCGAGUGCAUGGGCAUAAGCCCGCCUAACUGUGAGACCGACAAGUCGAGCAGAUGCGAAAGCAGGCCCAAGUGAUCCGGCGGGAGAGAGUGGAAUCCCCGUCGCUCAACGGAUAAAAGGUACCUUAGGGAUAACAGGCUGAUCACGCCCAAGAGUUCAUAUCGACGGCGUGGUUUGGCACCUCGAUGUCGGCUCGUCGCAUCCUGGGGCUGGAGAAGGUCCCAAGGGUCCGGCUGUUCGCCGGUUAAAGCGGCACGCGAGCUGGGUUCAGAACGUCGCGAGACAGUUCGGUCCUCUAUCCUCUGUGGGCGUUGGAGAAUUGAGGGGUUCAGACCUUAGUACGAGAGGACCGGGUCUGACGCACCACUGGUGCACCGGUUGUUCCGUCAGGAGCACGGCCGGGUAGCUAAGUGCGGAAGGAAUAAGCGCUGAAAGCAUCUAAGCGCCAAGUCCCUCCCAAGAUGAGUUCUCCCUACAGGAGCGUGGAAGACGACCACGUUGAUAGGGUGCAGGUGUAAUUGCAGCAAUGUAUUGAGCCGAGCACUACUAACAUCCAAUAGACCUCUUUCAC